GAUGAACGCUGGCGGCGUGCUUAACACAUGCAAGUCGAACGAUGAAGCCCAGCUUGCCGGGUGGAUUAGUGGCGAACGGGUGAGUAACACGUGAGUAACCUGCCCUUAACUCUGGGAUAAGCCUGGGAAACUGGGUCUAAUACCGGAUAGGAGCGUCCACCGCAUGGUGGGUGUUGGAAAGAUUUAUCGGUUUUGGAUGGACUCGCGGCCUAUCAGCUUGUUGGUGAGGUAAUGGCUCACCAAGGCGACGACGGGUAGCCGGCCUGAGAGGGUGACCGGCCCCCCUGGGACUGAGACACGGCCCAGACUCCUACGGGAGGCAGCAGUGGGGAAUAUUGCACAAUGGGCGCAAGCCUGAUGCAGCGACGCCGCGUGAGGGAUGACGGCCUUCGGGUUGUAAACCUCUUUCAGUAGGGAAGAAGCGAAAGUGACGGUACCUGCAGAAGAAGCACCGGCUAACUACGUG
RNAcentral lists this ribosomal RNA (466 nucleotides) under uncultured bacterium. Its description in RNAcentral is "partial 16S ribosomal RNA". It matches the Rfam family "Bacterial small subunit ribosomal RNA", at positions 28 to 507 of the family's 1533-position model. The record is from RNAcentral.